This 254-nucleotide ribosomal RNA is filed under the name uncultured bacterium. RNAcentral's name for it is "partial 16S ribosomal RNA". It matches the Rfam family "Bacterial small subunit ribosomal RNA", at positions 524 to 776 of the family's 1533-position model. The record is from RNAcentral.
UACGGAAGAUCCGAGCGUUAUCCGGAAUUACUGGGCGUAAAGAGUUGCGUAGGUGGCAUAGUAAGCAAGCAGUGAAAGGUCCCGGCUCAACCGGGGAUACAUUGUUUGAACUGCUAAGCUAGAGCAUGAGAGAGGUAACUGGAAUUCCUAGUGUAGGAGUGAAAUCCGUAGAUAUUAGGAGGAACACCGAUGGCGUAGGCAGGUUACUGGCUCAUUGCUGACACUAAGGCACGAAAGCGUGGGGAGCGAACAGG